CGUUGAGUGAUAAGUAGAAGCAGAUAGGCAAAUAAGUACACAUGCAUAUACAUAUACAAGUUUAUGUUCGUAGAAGUAGUUGGAUGAGCAGGCCACGUCAUUUUGGCAUUUCACAUCGGCAGCAAUUUUGAUCGAAUAUAUCACAUUCGCCAACAUUGGAUUAACAUAUACAUAUGUAUGUAAGCGCAUAUGUUCGAAUGUGUUAGGUGGCGUUAAGAGAUCGACCGUAGCAGAAACGUUGAGGUCGUAUAACAUUCAUGUGAAACCGUGUGAAAACAAACGAAAAUAAUUAAACAUUUAGAUGGGGCGUCAAGUUAAAUAUGCACUUUUCUAUGUAACAGUAAACUUAUCUGGCUAACUGGUUACUUGGUUUAUUUUGCGCAAUACAAACAUAGCAAACACACGUGCAAGUUGUUACCGAAUACGCUAACAGUAUUAAUCGUUAGCUUUUUGAAGGUUUUAUAUACAUACAUACAUAAUUUAAACAAUCGAAAGAAUUAGUUGAUGUGAUUUUGGUUAAAAUUUAAACAAGCGACAUUAAAGCAUUAUUUCUAAUGUUGGAAAUUAAUAUAUUCAUUUUGGUAAUUCCCCGAUGUAGUAGAAAAAAAAUCCAUAAAAUAGUUACCCCUUAAAGUUAAAAAAAACAGAAAAGAGAAAAACGCAGACCUUUGGUCACAUUUCGAAUGAAACAGUGUUGAGGAAUUAAGAAAAAUAUAUCUUGCAAAAACAUUUGGCUAACAAUUUCUGUUGUUCUAUAUGUUUAGAAAAACAUUUUUUUCUGAAAAUAACUUUUACUGGGAAACUGUUAAAUUAAAUGUAAAGAUACCAACAUUUUCACAUACAAACAUUUUGCAUUUGCGAAGGCUUGCAUGAGAAAUAACAACGCCAGUUCAUAAAGAUGAGAAAAAAAAGGGUGAAACCGGAAAUGCGAAUUAAACACAUGUAUGUAUAUAUGUACACACAUGCAAGUCCAAUUUACAAGUGAGACUAGGGCAUAACAUGGUACAACAUUUUUCCAAGUUACACGUAUAUGAAGUUUGCGAACCAGAAUUUUCUUUUGUAUCCGCCGUCAUCACUUUAUAAUGUUAAAAGCAACAAAAUUUAAUGCUAUUGCCGCUAUUGAGUGUUGGAUUAACAAGCUGCAACUUGUCCAUUUUGGGAAUAGAUACAUCGGUCAGUGACUGCCUAUUGAAAUUUACGUCUAUAUUGAUACAACAUCGAGUGACUAGAAAACAUUGACUGCCGGCCCUCUUUCUAUGACUAUUUAUCUACUUGAGUAUUAUGUAAAAGCACACAAAUCGAUUAGGAAACAUUUUUCAUUAAUUAAAUGAUCAUGUUCUGUCAGAUGCGAUUUGUAGAUUAGUUAUAAACACUUGAGCAAACCUUUAAAUGACAUCCUAUGGGCGUUACGACGGCUAUUUGGACUAGUGAAUAGACAUACAUACACGCAAGUAUAUGUAUACACUGCGCGUCACCAGUCACUUUUCGACAGUACUUGAAAUUUUAAAAAAGUUGGCAGAAGUCGAAAUUUUAUAUAAAAUUUUUUGCGAAAUACGGUCGAAAUAAUUAAGACUGUACCAAAAAAGUUAUUUCCGAUGUUAACAAAAGAACAAUUUUGAGAAAAGAAUCAACUCCCAUGAAUCGACUGCCAAAUGCUGGUGUUAAAGUGAGCUUAUCUACUGUUCAAAGGGUGUUAAGGAAUGCUCCAUAUUUGAGACUAUUAAAACUAAAGGAAAAACCACCACUUAAGAUACAUUUUGCCAUCAAUGAAAUAGAAAAGGCUCGCAAAGUUUUCGAGUCUGGCCAGCAAUAUUCCACAAAGAGGUAUUAGUUGAAGGUAAUUAAAAGUCUUGAUCAUCAAUUUCCUUAAAUUACGAGUAUAUUGGAACAUUUUACGAGUCGCUACCCAAUCAAAUCUUUGAGAUCAUUCUGAACUAGGAGAAUCGACUCUUUAUUAAAAUAAUAUAUAAAUGUUUAAAUAAGUUAGUACAUAAGGUUACAAAUAUGUUCUUAGCCAAACAUUUUAAAGAAUAUUGAAAAAAGGUAAUAUGUGCGAACCUGAUGACCUAAUUUGAAUUGUUAAUUUUUUUGUUGAGUAUGGAAAAAUAUGGAAAAAAGAUGAAACACUAA
Molecule: long non-coding RNA, 2130 nt
Organism: Bactrocera oleae (olive fruit fly)
Lineage: Eukaryota; Metazoa; Arthropoda; Insecta; Diptera; Tephritidae
Source: RefSeq, a predicted model, not a curated record